This 376-nucleotide ribosomal RNA is filed under the name uncultured Alphaproteobacteria bacterium. RNAcentral's name for it is "bacterial SSU rRNA". It matches the Rfam family "Bacterial small subunit ribosomal RNA", at positions 333 to 726 of the family's 1533-position model. Lineage: Bacteria; Pseudomonadati; Pseudomonadota; Alphaproteobacteria. The record is from RNAcentral.
GAUCUCCUACGGGAGGCAGCAGUGGGGAAUCUUGGACAAUGGGCGCAAGCCUGAUCCAGCCAUGCCGCGUGAGUGAUGAAGGCCCUAGGGUCGUAAAGCUCUUUCGCCAGGGAUGAUAAUGACAGUACCUGGUAAAGAAACCCCGGCUAACUCCGUGCCAGCAGCCGCGGUAAUACGGAGGGGGUUAGCGUUGUUCGGAAUUACUGGGCGUAAAGCGCACGUAGGCGGAUCGGAAAGUUGGGGGUGAAAUCCCGGGGCUCAACCCCGGAACUGCCUCCAAAACUAUCGGUCUAGAGUUCGAGAGAGGUGAGUGGAAUUCCGAGUGUAGAGGUGAAAUUCGUAGAUAUUCGGAGGAACACCAGUGGCGAAAGCGGCA